Molecule: ribosomal RNA, 1016 nt
Filed under: uncultured bacterium
Lineage: Bacteria
Description: bacterial SSU rRNA
Rfam family: Bacterial small subunit ribosomal RNA
Source: RNAcentral
UGGGGAAUAUUGGGCAAUGGGCGAAAGCCUGACCCAGCAACGCCGCGUGAGGGAAGAAGGGUUUCGGCUCGUAAACCUCUGUCCUAUGGGACGAAGGAAGUGACGGUACCAUAGGAGGAAGCCCCGGCUAACUACGUGCCAGCAGCCGCGGUAAUACGGAGGGUGCGAGCGUUGUCCGGAAUCAUUGGGCGUAAAGAGUUCGUAGGUGGCCUGUUAAGUCUGGUGUUAAAUGCAGAUGCUCAACAUCUGUUCGGCACUGGAUACUGGCAAGCUUGAAUGCGGUAGAGGUAAAGGGAAUUCCUGGUGUAGCGGUGAAAUGCGUAGAUAUCAGGAGGAACAUCGGUGGCGUAAGCGCUUUACUGGGCCGUAAUUGACACUGAGGAACGAAAGCCAGGGUAGCAAAUGGGAUUAGAUACCCCAGUAGUCCUGGCCGUAAACGAUGGAUACUAGGUGUUGCGGGUAUCGACCCCUGCAGUGCCGAAGCAAACGCGAUAAGUAUCCCGCCUGGGGAGUACGCACGCAAGUGUGAAACUCAAAGGAAUUGACGGGGACCCGCACAAGCAGUGGAGUAUGUGGUUUAAUUCGAAGCAACGCGAAAAACCUUACCAGGGCUUGACAUCUAACAAACACUUGUGAAAGCGAGUGGUGCUCUUCGGAGAAUGUUAAGACAGGUGGUGCACGGUUGUCGUCAGCUCGUGUCGUGAGAUGUUGGGUUAAGUCCCGCAACGAGCGCAACCCUCGUCGUUAGUUGGAUGUGUCGGUACACUUACACAUUCCUCUCUAGCGAGACUGCCAGUGAUAAACCGGAGGAAGGUGGGGACGACGUCAAAUCAUCAUGCCCCUUAUGCUCUGGGCUACACACGUGUUACAAUGGCUGGUACAACGAGCCGCCAACUCGUGAGAGUGAGCAAAUCUCUAAAAACCAGUCUCAGUUCGGAUUGCACUCUGCAACUCGAGUGCAUGAAGUCGGAAUCGCUAGUAAACGCAGAUCAGCACGCUGCGUUGAAUACGUUCCC